This 648-nucleotide ribosomal RNA is filed under the name uncultured fungus. RNAcentral's name for it is "eukaryotic LSU rRNA". The stretch from base 172 to 325 matches the Rfam family "5.8S ribosomal RNA". Lineage: Eukaryota; Fungi. The record is from RNAcentral.
GCGGAGGGAUCAUUACAAGUGACCCCGGUCUUACCACCGGGAUGUUCAUAACCCUUUGUUGUCCGACUCUGUUGCCUCCGGGGCGACCCUGCCUUCGGGCGGGGGCUCCGGGUGGACACUUCAAACUCUUGCGUAACUUUGCAGUCUGAGUAAACUUAAUUAAUAAAUUAAAACUUUUAACAACGGAUCUCUUGGUUCUGGCAUCGAUGAAGAACGCAGCGAAAUGCGAUAAGUAAUGUGAAUUGCAGAAUUCAGUGAAUCAUCGAAUCUUUGAACGCACAUUGCGCCCCCUGGUAUUCCGGGGGGCAUGCCUGUUCGAGCGUCAUUUCACCACUCAAGCCUCGCUUGGUAUUGGGCAACGCGGUCCGCCGCGUGCCUCAAAUCGACCGGCUGGGUCUUCUGUCCCCUAAGCGUUGUGGAAACUAUUCGCUAAAGGGUGUUCGGGAGGCUACGCCGUAAAACAACCCCAUUUCUAAGGUUGACCUCGGAUCAGGUAGGGAUACCCGCUGAACUUAAGCAUAUCAAUAAGCGGAGGAAAAGAAACCAACAGGGAUUGCUCUAGUAACGGCGAGUGAAGCAGCAUAGCUCAAAUUUGAAAUCUGGCGUCUUCGACGUCGAGUUGUAAUUUGUAGAGGAUGCUUCUGAGUA